Molecule: ribosomal RNA, 518 nt
Filed under: delta proteobacterium enrichment culture clone T-RF214
Lineage: Bacteria; Deltaproteobacteria
Description: bacterial SSU rRNA
Rfam family: Bacterial small subunit ribosomal RNA
Source: RNAcentral
AGAGUUUGAUCAUGGCUCAGAACUAACGCUAGCGGCGUGCCUAACACAUGCAAGUCUUACGAGAAAGCUCACUUCGGUGAAUGAGUAAAGUGGCGCACGGGUGAGUAACACGUGGAUAAUCUGCCCUUCAGUCGGGAAUAACUCAUCGAAAGAUGGGAUAAUACGCGAUAAUGCCUGUCCGUUCCGACGGAUUCGCCAAAGGUGGCCUCUCUAUAGAAGCUACCGCUGAGGGAUGAGUUCGCGCACCAUUAGCUUGUUGGUGGGGUAAUGGCCUACCAAGGCGACGAUGGUUAGCUGGUCUUAGAGGACGAUCAGCCACACUGGAACUGAGACACGGUCCAGACUCCUACGGGAGGCAGCAGUGAGGAAUUUUGCGCAAUGGGGGAAACCCUGACGCAGCAACGCCGCGUGAGUGAGGAAGGCCCUCGGGUCGUAAAGCUCUGUCAGGCGGGAAGAAAUGUUCGUAGGCUAAUAUCCUGCGUGCUUGACGGUACCGCCAGAGGAAGCACCGGCUAACU